UCCGAAUUUUAUUUAAAUUAGUAAAUCUUAAGCGUAACACUAUUUGAACCAAAAAUGAUUUUACAACAUCUAGGGUAAACGGUACAGUUACUAGACACUGAAGCAAUUGUGUUUAUUUUAUGAAUAAUCUCACCGUUUUACAAAAAAAAAAUAUUUUAACGAAAAACACGCUGAAAAGUAUAGUCAUUGGACACGUGAACGAUUAGAACGAUUAAAAAUGGAUUAUUAUUGUUUGAAACUCAUAAACUUUUUAUAACUAUAUUUGUACAUAUUUCAAAAUGAAAUAUUAUUAUUAUAUUUACGUUUUGAAAAGUUUAAUUCUUAACUAAAUUUGUAAGAAAAUUCGCUUUUAUACACACAUAGUAAAGCACAACAAACACGUUUUUGACAUAAAUAUUGCAGAUUAGCCGGUAAAGAAGGGAUUAUACGCAUGCGCAAAGUUGUUUUUGGAGACUGACAAAAUUUUAAACGAUUCUUUGAAGAACUUCGAAGGGUUCUUAACGUUGCAUCUGAUCUGGCAAAUGGUUCUUUAAUAGAACCUGAAAAUAAGCUUCUUUUGAGUACCCGAAAUAAUUUUGCUAAAAAUCUUUUGAAGAGCUUAACGUUAAUGCUAAUGAAGCACUGGCGAAGAUUCUUUAAAGAAAAUCCAAGACCGUAAAAUUCUUCAAAUAAAUCUUACGGUCUUUUGAACCGUUUAGAAACUGUUUUGGUCUUUUUUUCCAAUAAAAGCAAAGGCUUCAUUCUUAUUUGAAAAUCUAUUAAAAUAAAAUAAGAACUAUUCAAAAUUUCAUAAAACUACUCAAAUUAUUUGGAAACAACCUCUUAACAACAGUCUUUAAUAUGUCUUAUAUCUUUAAUAU
This is a long non-coding RNA of Hydra vulgaris (swiftwater hydra), 860 nucleotides long. RefSeq lists it as uncharacterized. The record is from RefSeq and is a predicted model, not a curated record. NCBI's taxonomy places the organism in Eukaryota, Metazoa, Cnidaria, Hydrozoa, Anthoathecata, Hydridae.